Molecule: non-coding RNA, 16740 nt
Organism: Oryctolagus cuniculus (rabbit)
Lineage: Eukaryota; Metazoa; Chordata; Mammalia; Lagomorpha; Leporidae
Source: RefSeq, a predicted model, not a curated record
GGGAUUGAACCCCUGCCACGAGUUCCAGCUCCUGUGGAAAGGGUUGCCGCCGCCUCCUUGCUGGCUCUCCGCAUCCAGGGGGUCUUCUCCGUCAUCGAACUUCUUCCGCAUUUCUAGGAAAAAAAUCAGUAAAUGAAGACCCAGGCAUGUGGGAUGAUGGCCCCAGCCAGCCCCCUGUGGGGAGCUCCUGCUCCCUUAACUCUCAACUCAAGAGGCCCCUCCCCGAAGAUGACUCCUGAGUGAAGUCUGAUGGAGCUGUGUCAUCCCACUGCUGCACAGGCAGGAGGGGCAGAGUCCUCAAGGUGUUAGGUACUGGAUAUUUGCUGAAUAAGAGAACAGACAGUAUAUAUCCUACUGCGCUUAGUAAUUUCAUUUUUAGCUCCCUUACUAGAUUACUUAGAAAAAAAGAUCAUUUAGAGACAAAACUUGACUUCCUCUUUUUGCUGAAUCUGCCUAGCUCAAACCAGAGCUUCUGUUCCCACUGCUGUGGUAUCAGCUUAAUACUAAAUUCUGGAAAUGGCAAGGCAUUACUCAGUACCACCUCAGUUCUUAGCCCAUCUGCAUGUGACAAUCUGGGCCACAGUAACCAUGAAAAGAAUACAGGGAGCAGGCAUUUAGCUCAGCAGUUGAGAAGCCCACAUCCCAGCUACUGCUCCUGGCUCUGGCUUCCCACCAGUAACAGGGUUCUUACCACAUGGAGACCAGGCUUGUGCUGUAGCAUCAGCUCAGUUCUAACUAUUGGAGGCACUCAUAGAAUAAACCAACAACUGGGAGCUGACUUACAGACACACACUCUCAAACAAAACAAAUCUACCAGUAAAUCUAAUGAUCAUUUGAUUUAGGGGCAAGAUUGCUGGAGAACACAGUCAUGGCGCUACAGCGGGCCCUGGAUUAGCUAAGCUCUCUUCUCCCAUCCCUGGGCAAUCCAGGAAACAUGCUUUCCCCAUUAAGCUCCUGUGAGUUCAGUAGAGGGAAUCCUCACUGCCUUGUGAACUUAGAAGAAAAUUAAAGAUAAUGUCUUAUGUUCAACGUUAUGCUGUCAUAUCACAAGUGAAAAAACUGGAGGCCUGAAAGUUGUCAGAAUCAAAAUGGAGCUGCCUGUAUCCACUCUAACACAAAAACAAGGGCUCUUACAGGCAAUUGCUUGAUGGUAACUAUCACAUAGAGUGUGCAGAACCAAAUUAUAAGAAAAGUACUUCUACAAGGACAUCUGCCCACCAGACGUCUGUUCUAUCUUGGCCUAAUACCGUGUUGCUUAUUAAUCAUGCAGGCCAAUCCUCCUCACUACUGCGUUUAUCUUUCCUUUGGAGCAGCCACUGUGGCACUGUGGGUUAAUCUGCUGCUUGGGACACCCACAUAUCAGAGUGCAUGGCAUCAAGUCCCAGCUCCACCUCAGCUUCCUGAUAAUGCACCUGGGAGCCAGCAGAUGAUGGCUCAAGUACCUGGGUACCUGCCACCGUGUGGGAGAACCUUGCUCCUGGCUUUGUCCUGGCCCAGCCCAGCCAUUGGGAGCAUUUAGGGAGUGAAACAGUCGCACAGGAUCUCCAUGCUCCCACCUCACCACCACCACCACCGCUCUGCCUCUUAAAUACAUAAAGAAAACUUUUAAAAAAAGGUCUUUCACUUGCCUCAACCUCUGAAUAUGCAUAUUAUCAUAACUGCAGAGCUCUGGAAUUCCAAUAUAAAUACCAUUAUCUUUAGCAAGUGUCUGUGUGUCUCUCUAAUUAUUAUUGUUUUGUUACUUAGCUUAACAAACCCAGGGCUUCUCAUUCCACACUGACAGUCUUUCCACUGUACUAUACACGUACAGUCCCCAGAAUUGGAGACAGGGACAAACUUAAAACCAGCAAGGCCAAGGACCAGUGAUCCACCCUCCACUUCUAAUGCCGCUUCCAAGAAGGGUCCAAGAAGGGCAAGGAUUAGUGAUACCACCGAUUCCACUAUUUGAGAGAAAUGAAAGGCCUAAAAGCAAUACCUGGAUCUGAGAGGACUUCUUUAGCAGCUGCUAUAUCAAUGAACUUUUUCUCUGCUUUUUUCUUUUCUUCUUCAUUCUGGAAGUUAUCUGGGUGCCACUGUAGGGCUAAUUUUCUGUAUGCUUUAAUGAUUUCUUGUUUUUUGGCAUUUCUGUGGGAUGGUAAAAUUAAUUGACAAUCAUUUAAAAAGUAUCCAACACACUGUCUUAAAAUUAGAAGAGCCAGGUUAAGAUGGCACUGGGAAUUUACAGCCGAGUUUCCCUUGUAGUUCCAAUGGCAUCAAAGGGCAAAGGUUCACACACAGUAAUGAAGAACAGAAUCUCACCAGGAAGCAAGUUAACUGCUACUGAUUUUUACAAUGUCCUCUUAAAAAGUUUUUUUCCAUUUUUCUUUCAGAAUUUCCAAACUACCAUGAUUCAGUUCUUUCUUGGCAUUAAAACAUACGACAAGUUGAUAGUUCAACGGUCAGGGAAGGUAUGUCUUAUAUAAAAGCACAUACUCGACAGAUUAGAUACCUCAGUGUCUGCAAGUUACUUCUAGAAGUGCUACUUUAUUGUUAGGCCUAGAGAAGGGUUUCCUUUUCUCCAGCCCCUCCCUCCCUCCUUCCUAUCCCCACCAGAACAAAAUUCUCUCCCAUUUCUUUACCCUUCUUAAAAAACAUAAGCCUGGGACCUAUUCAUGAUAGUCUUCCUCACCAAAUAAUUUUCUGGCAUUGCAUUACUAGUCUCUGUCAAAGACAUUUGCCUGUAAUGUAUUCAAAAUAGCUUUAUGAUGUUAAAGAUUGUUAGUAACAAUUAUAGAAGUACAGGAAAUCAAUCAAGGAGAGAAAAAAAUCAACGAUUAGUUUUACAACAGUUAAGUAAAAAUAGCAAUGCAAAUUUGAAAUUCACCUUUUUACUCCCAAGAUUUUAUAAUAAUCUCGUUUCUGCGACUGUUUCAAUAGUCUUUGUGCUUUCUCUAAACCUUCCCGAAUCUGUUGAUCAUUUUCAUUGUGUUCCUGAGCUGUUUCAUAAUCCUGAAUAGCUGUCAAAAUAGGUUUAAGAUAAUGCUGUUAGGGGGACUAGUCAUUCGUUUCCUUUACGUAUCUUGCAAGUUAAUACCAAAAUCAUCAUCCCAACCCCUUCAGUCCUUCACCAUCACUGUUAAAAGCCUAAAUGAUAACACUUUGCAAUUUUGUUCAAAAACUUUAAAAAGGCAUAAUCAAGACUGAAUGUAGGUAGUAUAUUAUUCCCAUUCAACAAAAUUCACUGUUUACUUGCCCACCUCCCACAUUAUCUGCCCAUAUCUUCAAGUCAUUUUAAUAUCAGCACUUUAUAUAGAACAGUCUUACUGUACAACAGUGCCUAACUAAAUCAGCAUGGUCAGCUAAGGAUCAACAAUUCAAAGUGGAGGUUAGAAAGGGAGCAAUCACUGUCAGUAGUCAUAAUGACAAAGUUAACCACGGGGUUCAACACCAACAAUCAUAUGCUUUUCUUUUAAGUGUCAACCAAAACAGAAAAACACAUACCCUACUGGCAUCGGAAGUCUGAUGACAAUCCACAUGACAUGUUUCAGAGUAUUUUAAAUAUUUAGAAAGGACAAAGCAUCUGGGUAUCUAAUAUCAGGUAGAAGAGUCAUCAGGUCACAGCAGGCCUUCUCAGACUUAUCCUUAGACUGGUCUACUGGCCAGGAUGGCACCUGACUGAUAUCAGGGAGGUUGGACUUCAGCAAUGUUCCCACAUUCUCUUACUCUGCUGGGAGGCAUAAACGUCUGUGUGCUCGAACAAGCUUCACUACACUGUACACGUGUUAUGAGAUUUCCCCUUGUUUAAGGAACUCAGCUUGUCUUAUAUGACCUCAUAGGGAGAAGAUUCUUGGAAUAUUUUGGCUAGUUUCCUCUGUAGAAGUGAAAAUUAAAAAAGGAGCACAAGGAAGGAGAAAUGGGGUGAAAAAGACAACAAAAAGAGAUGGAAAUAAAAGUUUAAAGGACUAGAGAAAAAGAAAUCACAGUUAAAGAUGACAGGAAAGGAAAUACAUUCCAUGUGUAACUUGGGUGUAGAAAACCAAACCAACUGAAGAGGACAACUAAAAUGAAAGAUGAAUCUAUAGAGAGAAGGCAUACAAGGUGCCAGGGCAAUUCAGCUUAGAAUGGUGAACACUAAAACAUAUCCUAGCACAAUUAACAGACUUGAAAUAAAAAAGCUGCCUGUGUGGCAAGACCAAAACAAAAAAAUCCUGGUGCCAGAUUGUCCAUUGCGGGGCCAACACUUUGGCACAGCAGGUUAAGCCAUGGCUUGAAAUGCUGGUAUCCUAUAUUGGAGUGCUGGUUUGAGUCCUGGCUGCUCCACUUCCAAUCCAGCUCCCUGCAAAUGCACCUGGGAAAGCAGAAGAUGGUCCAAGUACCUGGGCCCCUGAAACCCAGGUGGGAAACCCAGAUAGAGUUCUAGACUCGUGCCUUGUUCUGCCCCGCCCCUUGGCCAUUGCAGCCAUUUGGGAAGUAACCCAGCAGACGGUAGAUCUCUUUCUCCGUCUUUCCCUCUGUGUCAUUCUGCCAUUCAGAUAAAUAAAUCUUAAAAAGGAGAUUUUUCUUGGCAAUAUUCAGUACCUGAAGAAUUGUAACAAUGCCUACAGGAUGUACAAAAGUAGGAAUAAAACAAUUUGUUAUCCUGACAUGCCAUCCGUCAAGUUGAAAAGGUACAGUCUUGAAUACAGAAUAAAUCAGGGAAAACUUUCUCAAGGAAAACUCCACAGUUUUCCUCAAGAAACUGCCACAGCAUGAACUCACCAAGAGAUGGCUGGAGAAACAAUCACCAAAGGAGGGAUGGCACACACUGCAUCUGUUCCAUUUGGCAUGGUUUGGCUGUGGUUUGAGUGUGUCCCCCAAAGGCUCAUGUGCUGAAGACUUGGUCCUCUGUGUAGUAAUGUGAGAGGAACUAAACUUGUAAAAAGUGGGAGGUCACAGGGGGCACUGCCCACAGAAGAAAUUUUUUGUGAGACCCUGACUAGUUCUUGAGAGUUGUUUUUAAAAGCACUCUUUGGCUUCUUGUAUCACCAUGUGAUCUUUCUUCUCGCACACACUCCUGCCAUUAUGCCAUCUGCCAUAGCCUGAUGCAGGAAGGAGUGCCCUUGUCAGAAUGGGCACCAUAUUGUUUAGACUUUGAGCCUCCCAAACUGUGAGCUAAGUAAACCUCUUUUCUUUAAAAAGUACCCAGCCUCAAGUUUUUUGUUAUAGCAAUGGAAAGCAGACUAAGACUAUGUAGAAUUGAGACUGGCACUAAGCAGUGAACUGUAGUCACAGAAUAAAAUUUGUGCCGUGACAGUACAGAAGGGAUACCACUAACAAAAAAUGAGAAAGGAGAUAAAAGAUGAGAAAGUCCAUUAAUUCCCACCUAUUACAGCUGAAGCAAUCAGAAAACUGCUAAGUAGUAUGACCAAGGCAAAUCCUAGAUAAAUUCAAGUAUUAAAUGGCAGAAAAACAGUAAGGAAAAGAAAGGUGGAAGCACACUGAAUUAUUUCUCAAGGUAGGAAGCUAGUGGUAUUGUACAAAGAGGGCUAAGUAAAUAAAACUAAAAAAUAUCCAGGAGCAAAAAUAAAAACUUUCCAGGACAGUACAUAAAAUAAUAUAAACCAAACAUCAAAAAAAUCUAAUCAGAAAAGAAUGACAGAACACAGAUCAAACAUCUGUCAUAUCAACACAUGUAAAUGUGCUUAAUUCCCUAAAAAGAAUUUCAUAUUGGAUGAAAAAGCAAAACCCAGCUCUGAAAAAGACACACUUGAAACAAAGAGAUUCAAGUAUGGCCAAAUUUUAUGAGACACAAAGUUUGGUUUACAGUCUUAGCAGAUAAUUGGAGUGGAGGUCAAAAAUAAACAGGACAUCAUAACAUUAAAGGCUACAAAUGACAUUGAAGAAAAUGAUUCUGACAACAGACAUAAAAAAAAAAUUAGAAAAGAUACUAGGAGAGACUUCCAUCUCUCUCUUCUUAAUUGAUCAAGUUGAACCAAGAAAUAUCUAGAAAACAAAGACCAUAAUAUAAGAUAGAGCUGGCUGACAUGCCAAAUUGUAGCAAAGAGAACCCAGAAUUAAGAAAGUACACCUACUUUUCAAAUCCGUACAUAAGACUUAUGAAGUUAACCGUAUUAGAUAAAAAAGUGACAAAUUCCCCCCCAAAAAUGGAAUUAGUAAAAACAUUCUCUGAUCACAAAGUUACAUUAGAAAUAAUAAAUCAGAAAAGGAAGAAUGUAGAACCCUCCAAAUAUAUGUAAUAAUAAUAAUGAUGAAAACACAACCUUUCAGCAUCUAUAGGAGACACAGCAAAACAAUGUUGAGAGGACAAUUUGGCCUUAAGUGGUCCAGUACAAAUUAGGAUAAAAAGGAAAUAAUCAUCAUCUGAGUCAAAGUUAAAAAUCAAAGCUUAAUUGUAGGGAAAAAUUAAAAUAGAACUGGUAAGUCAGAGUUGUUAAAAAAUUUUAAAUACUUGUAACCUAGACAAGCUCAAAAGCACAAAAUAAGACAUAAGUGCUGACCAUAAAGAUGAAGAAAUUAAAAGAAGACUGCUUGGGGCUGGCACCAUGGUGCAGUAGGUUAAUCCUUUGCCUGCAGUGCCGGCGGCACCGGCAUCCCUUAGGGGCGCUAGCUUAGUCCCGGAUGCUCCUCUUCCGAUCAAGCUCUCUGCUGUGGCCUGGGAAAGCAGUAGAAGGUGGCCCAAGUGCUUUGGCCCCUGUACCCGCAUGGGAGACCGGGAAGAAGCACCUGACUCCUGGCUUCAGAUUGGCACAGCUCCGGCCAUUUGGGCAGUGAAGCAACAGAAGGAAGACCUCUCUCUCUCUCUCUUUCUCCCUCUCACUGUCUGUAACUCUACCUCUCAAAUAAAUAAAUAAAAUCUUUGGGGAAAAAAAAAAGGACUGCUUUACUAGUAUUCCUUAACAAAAGCAUUUGAAAAUUCAAGAGAAUAACUCAAACUGAGCCAAAAAGAGACAAAAAAUAAACAGAAUAUUUUCAUGGAGUAAGGAUGUCAAAAAGCCACCUGCCAAUCAAGCAGCAGGAGUUACAUGAAGAUGGUUUAAACUUUUAAAUAGCAAGUGCUUCCAAUACUCUGUCUCCAGAGCACUGACUACAGAAAACUGCUAAAUAACUGCAUCAAAUCCUGACUGACUCUAGUUUAUUAACUAGCUAUACAUAGUACUCUAGGAGUAAAAAUCAUUUUUCCUCAAUUUCUGAGAAGAACUGCAAAGCUAUCUUUGGAAUCAGCAUGAUUGAUACUACUUUUUGAGACUGCACUUUUGGCAAAAUGAAAAAAAUUCUAGGGGCCAGUGCUGUGGCUUAGUGGGUAAAGCUGCCAUCUGCAGUGCUGGCAUCCCAUAUGGGCACCGGUUUGAGUCCUGGCUGCUCCACUUCUGAUCCAGCUCUCUGCUAAGGCCUGGGAAAGCAGUAGAAGAUGGCCCAAGUCCUUUGGGCCCCUGCACUCGUGUGGGAGACCCAGAAGAAGCCCCUGACUUUGGAUCAGCACAGCUCUGACCGGUGUGGCCAUCUGAGGAGUGAACCAGUGGACAGAAGACCCCCUACCCUCCUCUGCCUCUGCCUCUCUGUAACUCAGCCUUUCAAAUAAAUAAAUAAAUCUUAAAAAAAAAGAAAAAAGAAUCUGCAAACAAUGAAGACAUGAUGGAGGAGGAGGAAGGAGAUGGGGAGGCCAAGGGAGAGAAGAAGAAAAAAAUGCAGAAAGGCAAUGAAAGACGGCAGAAGGAUAUCUUCACAAAGAAAGUGGAUUUCAUUUACAUAAAUAGUUUACCAGUAACAAUCUCAGAUGUCUUCAGUAAGACAGAAGGAUAGAUUUCUUCUGGCAAAAAGAAACGGCAACUCUAGUGUAGAAUCAGGUUGCUUACCAACACGUUCCUACUAUAAAAGAGAAACAUGCUAAACACACAGUGUGGAUUCAGACAAACAACUUGACCCUGUGGCUCCACAUUCAUGAUAUAUUACUCUACUAAAUGGCUUCCACAACCUAACUAUCCACAACUGUAGAGGACAGAAUUUAAAUAUCAUAAACUCUGUAAAUGUAAAAAUAUACUAACUCAUGUUUAGGGAAAGGAAGAUGGAAAUUUACCAGUUUGCUUAUUAUGAGUAGUAUAAAAUCCGUAGAUACUGUGUAAAAGAUGAUGGAGCGAGAAACAGAUUUAGGCAUACUAUUAAUUUAUAUAACAUUAAAACUAAAUAUAACUAGGAAUAUUUUACUGUACCCAAACCAGAGUUUGUGGAAAGAACAGAACUAGAAAAGCCUACUUAAUGUUUCCUUUUCCUAAAGUGUCAAGUAAGGAAUGUCAGGAGUCUUCAAAAAUUUCAUGGAAAAUGUGAAUUAUGAAAAAAUUAUGCAAAGGUUUCAAAAAAUAUUUGCACCAUAAUUAACUUAUUCCCUUUCUCCAUGAACUUUUUCAAGUACAUUCAUAUUGCCUAGACUAUAAAUCAAGAACUAGAGGAAGAUUUGUUUUCAUCAGAAUUGUAAUAAACAUCAGAAGAACUAUUAUUAAAGUAUCUAACAGUGGAAAAUAAAAUAUCAGAGGCGCUUUUGUUCCUUACCUUACUCUAAUUUUUAAAUUUCACCACGUGCAUGUAUUACAUUUACAGCUUGAGUAAAAUUAAAUAAAAUUUAUAGAGAGGGGAGAACAAACUAAUAACACAUGCAUAAUGGAAUGCCAUGUAAGUAGUAACCUCAUAGAUGAUGAUCCUAUUUACAAAUAAUCAUCUUUCUAAGAUUUACACACUUUCUAAGAAUACACAUACAUGUUAAAAUAAAGUACUGCUAUAACCUUGUCACCACACAAUCUAAUCUUUUUAUACUGAAAACAUAGACCCGCACACCCUCCCAUGGGCUCUGGGUGAGACCUUGGGCUCACUGCUUCACGUCUGUAAGCCAAAGCUUUCUCAUCUGCAGAGUGGUAACACAACCCACGUGACAGGGCCACAGUGGAGCUGGUCACACAAUAUCAUGAAUGUGUUUAAUGCUACUGAACUGAACACCUAAAAAAUGAUUAGCGUGGUGAAAUUUGUGUUACAUAUAAAUUGGGGGAAAAAGAAAUAAAGGAGUGAAUGUGCAAAAAGCCUGUUGUGUAAAUAAAUGAUUAACAAACAGUCCUUGUAGUUAAAGAAGUUUUUCCUCCUUGCAACCAAUCAUCAAGCUUCUACAUCACAAACGAUUGGUACGUACAUUAAGAAACAACAGAGCUCUCUAGACACUACCUUUUAGGAGGGUUCUGUUGGAAGUGUAAUACCCAAGAAAAAGGGAGAGAGAAAGCAAGCACAAUUUGAUCAAACUUAUUCGCAACACAUGGGGACACACAGAGAAAGCAGGAGGUAAGGUAGAAAGCCUUCUUGUAUCAAGCCUGCCUGAAAUAGUCCAAGAUUAGAAACACAUCCUAGAAGUCACCAAGCAAGUGAGCAUGCACAAAUACCUUCAAAGCCAUAACCACAGCACUUGGUGCCCAUCAGUUAUUUCAAAACAGCCUAGACUGAAAAAGAGCCUGGUGGUCCUGCCACAAGGGAUGGAAUGAUGGUCCUAAAGCACCAAAAAAGCCCAAACUAAGGAGAAGCUGCCCCAAGGUGCCUUCAAAAAAGACCUACGUAACCAGCAAGGCCUGGCUCCCAUCCAAGUGUCCUGAGAUGCUGGCAGCACCCAGAGAGCAGUCUGGGAGCUCCACAGCAAGCAGAAGACCAGGGCUGAACUCAAGCUGUCCCUGCAGCGCUGACUGAUCAGAAUAAGCUCCAAGUGCUUUGCAGACAGCCACGGUGAUGGGUCUCUCCCGGCCAGCUCUUCAGAAGCUAAACCUCCGUGGCUACUUCUAUUCCAUGAGACCCAGACAUUCCCAUCCUGAAGAGGCCUGGAAGGAACCUGGUCUCUCCCUUCCCAGCUCUCAGUGGGCCAUGUUCUCUCUUCCCUGAGAUCUACCAGGCAACUUUCAGAUGGAAGGCAUCUUCUACAUCUAGUGGCCUCAUGAGUGAAGGUUCUUAGCCUGGGAAAGGAGUAAAAGAGCAACUAUUACCCAAAAGAAGAGCUGCUGUGUGGAAUUAAGACUGAAGCAUACAUAAUGAGCAAAAUUACAGCAUAUUAGCAUUUAACUUGAGUAUAUUCCCUGAAGGUUUCAGUAUUUGCACAUUAAAUAAAUUACAUUAAUUAUCAUUCACCACAGAAAAACCUGACAAUACAGACAGACGCUACUCCCUGCUGAUGAGGAGAUUGUCUUGUAAAGGCCAGUUCAUUAGCCAGUGAGGACAUGAGCCUGUCAAACAUGGCCUUACACAUCUUUGAGCCUAACGUCUUACUAACAAAAUGCUAUUCUUUACUAACACUGUUACUUAACAGCUCUAAAAGACACACCAAAAGAGCCCACAUCUGCAGUAUGAACACUUGGAAACUAAUGUUUUGCAUUUAUCCAAAGAGCUACAACAGAUAUAUAGAACGCUUCCAGAAUCCACAGUACUCCUCAUUUCUGGGCAAUACAUGAGCCAUCCACGUUAGUCUGCACAUGAUGUGAACAUGUGCAACAGGGGAGGCUGCAGAGAACAGGGCACAGGGGAGCCCCGGAUUCUCAUCACAGAGCCUCAGAGGCUCCCACUCCGCAGGCACUAAGCCCACUUUCUCCUACCCCUGCUCCAGGCCCAACGCAGAGGUCCAUGAUCUUUGAAAAAGAAAUCCAACCAUUUUUAUUUUCAGGCUUACAGACUCAUCAGAUCUGAGUUUCUUACAUUAAUUACAUCUAAAUAUCUGGCAUCAGAUUAUAGUAAGGCAGACAUCUUAAUGUCUUCAUUAAUUCAUUAAUUCAUUAAGGCAGACAUCAUAAUGUCUUUACCUCUUAAGGUGUCUUCAAAAUGCAUAUUAUAAAAAACUACACAUGAUUUCAAAAAAUUUUGCUCUAAAGUUAAUGUAUCUUUUAAUUCCAUUUUCCAUGAACUUCCUGAAAUAUCCCUGUAUUUCUCAGCAGUUCUUACUUGGAUCUUUGUUACUGUCUUGGCAAGGUACAGAGAGGUCUUAGCCAAAUUAUGUAACUUAGAGACUUGACAAAAAGCUACAGUUCUCUUUUAAAUACUUCUUUAGAAAUGGAUGCUAAAAACCUCUGGGCACAAAAGACUCAACUAAAGGCUGCAUUUCUGCUCUGGGCCCCAAUGUUACAUCAUGUGUCUGACAGCACUUGAAGUGGACACAAGUGAAGGGUAAGAGUUUCCUACACAGCAUAACCAAGGGUGCUCCCUCAGGAAGCAACUAUGAAACUCUGACCCAAUUAUUUAAGGAUACCUUUAAAAAAAAAAAAAAAAGGAUACCUUUGAAAAGACUGGAAACGUUUUAUUGAACAAUAUGUAUAUACUGGGGCCAGUGCUGUGGCAUAGCGGGUAAAGCCGCCACCUACAGUGCCAGCAUCCCAUAUGGGUACUGGUUUGAGUCCUGGCUGCUCCACUUCCAAUCCAGCUCUCUGCUAUGGCCUGGGAAGGCAGUGGAGGACAGCCAAAGUCCUUGGGCCCCUGCACCAUGUGGGAGACCCGGAAGAAGCUCCUGGCUCUGGAUUGGCGCAGCUCCAGCCAUUGCGGUCAUCUGGGGAGUGUACCAGCAAAUGGUACACUCUCUGCCUCUCCAUCUCUCUCUGUGUUAACUCCUUCAAGUAAAUAAAUAAAUCUUUAAAAAAAAAUAUGUACAUACUAUAGUGGAGUCAACCGGGCAGGAGGGGAUUUCCUAUUUGCUUUUACGGCAGCCCAACAAACAAACAAAAAUUUUCUCUGCCACCUGAGGGGAGGUGGGCAGGGUUUUAUAACUUAGACUUCAGCCAAGUUAUGAGCAUGUAAUAAUGAAGAUAAUAAUUCUAAAACUAAUCAGGCAAUACUCUUUAGAAAGUUUUCAGUUUCUACAUCAUUGUAAUGAUUAGGUUAUGUGGUCAAAUUACUUAAUAUUAAAAAAAAUAACUGGAAAAUGCCACCCCUUCUCAAGACAGAAGACAAUUAACAAACCCCAACCCUGAGAUGGUCAGGAUCUGGGAUUCACAGGCUUGACUUCCAAGACAGUUUGUAUAGCCAGGAUGAAUGAUGACAAAAUGCAAUAUAUGCUUGCAGUGAGUGAAGAUACAGUAACUCAGCAGAGAAUGGGCAGUGAUUAAAAGAUGAGACCAAUUCUAAAGCCAAAAUUUUCAUAUCAUUAAUAAAAAUCCACUGAUGGACUUAACAGCAGAACAGAAUUGACAGGGAAGAGUGAAUAUAAAGAGAGGUCAAAAUUAUCAAUCCAAAGAAAAUCAGUGCAACUAAAAAAAAAGAUUUCAAAAAUUAACAUAGCCUCAAGGACAUGUGAGACAACAUUAGUGUCUAAUAUUGUAAGUCUGAAAAGAGAAUAAUGAAGUAGAAAAAAAUGUAUAUAUAAAGAAUAGCUCAAGUUUCUCCAAAUGUAAAUACAAAGUUAAAGUCUUAAAUAAUUCAGUAGACAUCAAGUAGAAUUAAUGCAAGAAAAGACACCUCACAGAAGAGCAUUAUUUUGAUUUUCAGUUGUUUGCAAAAAAGAAAAUCCUAAAACCUGCCCUCCCCAAAAAAAACAUGACAGAUUAUAAAUGGGGGAAUGGCAACUUGAAGAACUGAUUUUGCAUUGGAAAUAAUGAACAAAAGAGGUAAGUGAAAACAUUUUUUAAUAAUGAAAAAACAUUAAUUCAAAAUUCUGCAGCCCCAUGUAGAUGCUGUAGUGCCCAUAUGGGAUGCCAGACCUGCAGCUUAACCCACUGUGCCACAGGGCCAGCUCCUUUCCAAGACUUUUUGAAGAUCCCUUAUAAACGGAUUUCAGAACAUUUUGCAUCAACAAAUUUUUUUAUUCCAUUGUCCACAAACUUCUUGACAUACCCUUGUAUACUGUAAUCCCUACAGCAACCACUAAAAACCUACAACUGUAGUAUCCUCCCUCAUCAUUUUCCCUUAGUAUUUUUUAACUUCCAAAACUUUAAGCUUUUCAUAAUUUGGAAAUCACCCUUUUUAAAAAAUGUAUUUAUUUAUUUGAGAGGCAGAGACAGAGAGAAAGUUCGUCCAUCCACGGGUUCACUCCCCAAAUGGCUGCAAUGGCCAGACCUGGGCUGGUCUGAAGCCAAGAGCCAGGAGCUUCUUCCUGGUCUCUCAUGUGGGUACAGAGGCCCAAGCGCUGAGGCCAUCUUCCACUGCUUUCCCUAGCCAUCAGCAGGGAGCUGGAUCAGAAGUGGAACAGCCAUCCAUAUAGGAUGCCAGUACCACACGCAGAGGCCUAACCUACUACGCCACAGCACCAGCCCCAAAAAUCAGUCCUAGAAAUACCUUUUUUCUGCUGAAUGGUACUCAUGUACUAUUGGGACUGUUUCCUAUUUCCUCACCUCCAAAUCAAACUAAUAGGUUCUCGGGUCUGGCUCUGUUGGCAGUAUAAUGUUUCCUAACUGAUACACUAAAUCUAAAAGGGCUAAAUCUCAGCUAAUUGGUAACUGUAAUUCCCAGCUAGCAGGUACGUAGUCUUCCUUGUAACCAUGGACUUUUCAAAAGAAACAAGGAGCUUGUGGCUAGGAGGCUUGUGUAGGAAUAAAAGCUGAUAGCAUGACUUUGUAGUCCAUAACACGAACAGCCAAUGUGGUUCAUCAAACCACAGGCUGCAUCUAGCCAUUUUUUCCAUUCCAGUCACCUGCUUCCCGCUCCUUAGAUGAUGCUAAAGUAGGUGUACCUAUUUGGAGAUUUGGAAGUUUCAGAAACAUCUGCUUUAUAGAUUGCUGUUACAGUGUCCAUGGUAAUUAUGAUUGCUUUAUAAAAAUGUCAAUAUGUAAGCAGCCUCCAACUUAUAAGGCCACAUUUAGGUAUAAUUCCAUAUUUAUUAGUAUUUUCUAAUAAAGACCAAUCUCUUCUUCUUCCCCUAAACAGGAGACAGGAGUCUCUGGGCCAACAACCUUAAAGGAAAACAGAAACAGCCAUGAGAAAUCUGACCUGCUCAGAAGGAGUGUCUCCUUCAUGGCGAGGUUUAAGCCCUAUGAUUCCAGGACCUUAUGCCAAGGCUGCCAAACAUGUUUCUGGCAGCACAAGCACUUCCCUGAAAUUCCACUACUAUAAGAAUCCUUUGGAUUAAAAAAUGCUUAUCUUCACAAGGACUACAAACCUAGUCAUGUUUUAUACAAGGAUCUUAAAUCUGACCACUCUGGUUGUGUUGAAGAGCAUUAAGACUGCUGAUGCAAGGAGGUGGUUUGCAUUUUGAACAAUUAAUACUUUUGCAGAGUAGGACAAGCUGGUGUUUGGAGUAGAGUUCCAAGGAUAAGCAGGAGGGCACAAAAAUCCAUAUACAGUACAUCAUCAAAGAAUGUCAAAGUUAAACUUAACCUCCUUCACAGUUUUCAUCCAAGAAAGGGGCUACUUGCCUCCUGUUCUCAGAAUUCUGAAUACUACCAAUAACCUAAAAUAACAGCUGUGUCUAAUAGAGUUAAUGCAGCGGUCACAAGUUAGACCAGGAAGCUAGCUACCCCAAACAAUGCUGUGUGUGUAGAAAAGUCAGUGCGCGUUCAACCAUCCAUCCAGAUAGUAAGUACAGUGGGAACCAUUCACUUAGAAGUUUUCUAGAAGCACUACACUAAGCAAUUUCUAAGCAUCAUCUUAUUCAACCACAACAAUUCUGUGAGAUAUAUAUGAAUAUUUCUGUUUUACAGAUAAGGAAAGUAAAACACAAUAGGCUAGGUAACUUUGAAACUAUGUAGAAAAAUCAACAGCACAUUCCUAAGAAAGUUUACACAUCAUUAACUAACAUAUGAAAAGAUGCUCAACAUCACUAAGGAAAUAAAACCCAAAGCCAUAAUGAAGUAUCACUUCACCCAUUACAAUGGGUACUAUAAAAAAAAAAAAAAGUAUUGAUGAGGAUGUAGAAAAAUCAGAACCCUUGUACACUGUUAGUAGGAUGGUAAAAUGGUGCAACUACUAUGGAAAAUAGCACAGAGGCUCCUCAAGGUUAAAACAGAACUACCAUACGAUUCAACAAUCCUACUUCUUGGGAGAUAUUCAAAAGAAGUGAAAGUAGGGUCUCAGAGAGAUAUCUGUGUGACCUUGUGCAUAGCAGCAGUACCCUCAACAGCUAAGAGGUGGAAACAACCCGAUGUCUAUUGACAGAAGAGUGGGUAAACAAAAGUUGGUUUAUCCAUAUUAAUUCAGCCUUAAAAGGAAGAAUAUUCUGACACCUGCUACAACAUGGAUCAACCUUGAAAACACUAUGCUGUUGAAAUGGGCAGUCACAAAUGGACAAAUACUGUGUCAUUUCAAUGAUACAGUAUCAGAAAAAGACAAAUAUAUUAUUCCAACUUUAAGAAGAACUUAAAGCACUUCAAAUUCAGAGGCAGAAUCCUCUGAUGUUUCCUGAUAAUUCUAUCGCAAGUCCAAAAUAUAUUUCCAUGUUCCACUAUUUAUUAAUCUAAAACUAAUGAUUCUUUAUUCAUUAUAUCCCCAUCAUGAUUUUAAACUUUUAAUUUAAAAUAAAAAGGUAGGAGUGGGUGUUUAACUUACUGGUUAAGAUGCCCACAUCCUACAUUAGAGUACCUAAAUGCAAUUCCUGGCUCCAGUGUUCCACCAAUGCAGACACUGAGUAGCUCAAAAAUGGAAAAGAACAGGUAUGAUAAAGUGACCUUCUAUGUGGAUCCCAUACCUUAUUGAAACACUGUUAAACUUCAUAUAAUAUUAAAUACUGUUGUUCUGACUGCACACAUUCGCUUCGGGCCUCACUCAGUCCUCAGAGCCUGAAUGUCCCACAAAACAUUCACCAGAAUGGUCAUCACUCCCUAGAAAAUCCUUAGCAGUAAGAUUCUUUUCAAAUUGGAAAAAGCAAGGAAAAAAAGCAGCUGACCAAUUUGCCUUGAAAAGAAUACCACUAAUCAAGUUUCACCAUUCAAAUCCUUCAUUUAACUAUAACAGAAAACAGCUCUUACUGAUUUCAAUUUAAAAUGCUUUGCAUGACUUGAAGCAAGAAGGUUCAUUUAUUUUAUAAAAGGAAUAUAAAGGAAACAUUUAUAAUAUCUUAUCACAUGAAAAAACUUAAAAACACACGUAUGAAAGGAUUCUAUUUUUUAAUGUAUAUUUUUGUACAUGCCUUAACUGUCAUCCAAACUUACUCAAGGACCUGAAACAAGAUGCUAACAGGAAUCUUUCCGGCUGCUUAAAUUUGAACAAAGGAGUGUAAGCAACUAUCAUAACUUUACUAAACAGCUUGGGGGUCAGACAGAAUCAUUUUAUAUUAGACAUAUGCAACCUAUAUAUGUAUGCUUCAUGUAUAUGCAUUAUACACUGUAUAAUAAAAUAUACAUAAAUUAUAGCAUAACAUAAGUAUGGAUAAACAAAAGUUUGGAAACAUACAAAUCCAAAAUGAAGACUACCUGCAGAAAAUAUGAAAUUUAGAAUUUACAUCCUCCCUGUAGUAACUUGUCUUUCCAAACUUAUCUGUAUCAAAGAAAAUUAAAUAUUUUUCUUCGAUAGUUGACUGAACUAGUAUCAACAGCAUCAGUAUUUCCCCACACAGUUUACCUUUCAAGUUCUACUAAAGAUGAAUAAUUUUCAAGUUCUCUGCCAUUUUUCUAAAACUGACAACAUUUCUAGAUAUUCUGGUAAACUUAAUCUAAAUAAAAGGAAAUAUACAAAUUUCAUAUAAUCAGCUUUUAAAUGUUGCAAUCAAAUUAGAGAUUUACCUUCAUCAUACAUUUCUUCUAUUAAAUAGGCUUCUGCUCGAUCUUUCAGAGCAUUCACAUUGUCGGGUUCCACCUGUAAAACUUCAGAACACACUCUAAUUGCCUCAACAGGCUU